AGAGGACGUUGGUUUGGUCGUAAAAGUAUAGGUACAUACACAGCUAGUAGUCAACAAUGUACCUUUUCUUGCCGUAGGUACGUGCGGGGUUUAGUAUACGACGAAAGUGUUAUAUGAGUAGUGCAUCAUUAUUAAUUUGUUCACCUGUAUCUCCCUACGGCUAGUAGUGUGCGCUGCCAUAUCAUCAUCGUCAUAGAUAUGUUAAUAGUUUCGGGGUUGACGGAUUGGUGAUGCGUGUGGUUGCGUUCGGCUAUUCGUGCAGCACCAUGCUAGUUCAGU
RNAcentral lists this ribosomal RNA (279 nucleotides) under Triticum aestivum (bread wheat). Its description in RNAcentral is "partial small subunit ribosomal RNA". The record is from RNAcentral. Lineage: Eukaryota; Viridiplantae; Streptophyta; Magnoliopsida; Poales; Poaceae.